This is a small nucleolar RNA of Elaeis guineensis (African oil palm), 88 nucleotides long. RefSeq annotates it as small nucleolar RNA snoR27. The record is from RefSeq and is a predicted model, not a curated record. Lineage: Eukaryota; Viridiplantae; Streptophyta; Magnoliopsida; Arecales; Arecaceae.
AUUGGAUCAAUGAUGCAUCUCUAGUCUGCAUUGUCUUUCUGUAACUUUGUUGAAGGAAUUGAAGAUGACACAUCUUAUGAGAUCUGGU